Molecule: long non-coding RNA, 2595 nt
Organism: Syngnathoides biaculeatus (alligator pipefish)
Lineage: Eukaryota; Metazoa; Chordata; Actinopteri; Syngnathiformes; Syngnathidae
Exons: 3
Source: RefSeq, a predicted model, not a curated record
UAAAAGUCCGUCAUUAGCGAGGCGACAACUUUGCUGAAGACUGGCGUCCAUUUGCACAGGCUCAACGCACAAAAUGUCUGACAAACUUUGCUAACUGUUCCAAUCAGAGAUCGUGCUUACGACCGCGUUAAAGGCCGAUAAAAAUUCUCCAUAGCGACAGAACUUUGGCUUUUGCUGUAUUUAGCCAUUCUUCAAGGUGGACCGUGUUUGCACUGAAGCAUGAAAUCAUGACACAAAGUCAUUCUUUGCAAGUAUACUAAUAAUAAUACUGUAGUGUGGUGUGUAGUGGUAUUAUUCUCAAUUUUGGGGGUGUGCACAGAUUAUCUCUUGUCAUUUCAAUAGAGGAAGAUAAUUCUAUAGUUUUUUUUUUUACUUAUUAUCGUUGCCAUGUAACAAAUAAAUGUACAAUAUAGUUAUAGCAGCAAUAUGUUCUCUUUAUUGAGGAAAUGUUUUUAGGCAUCUAAUUCGUUUAGCUGGUGUGCUGUUGUUGUAAUGCACUUUGGCCAGUUUGGAGGUAAUGGGGCAUUUACUGUAGCUUGUGUUUAUGUGGUCGUUUUUUGGGAGGUGUAAGCGGGUGGAGCGAGGGAGGGAGAGAGGAAAAAAAAAAGAAAAUUGAUGCAGUGGUCAGUGAAGUCCCUUCGGCAACAACCCAGCGCUGCUUUUAGCUCGUUUUAUAUUUCGUAAAGUCAAACCGUAGCUUGUGUAUUUGGCCUUUCGGGACAAAGUGUAUAUUUGAAUAGAAGUCCUCCAAGGGGCAUAUUCUAUUAAUGGAGGGGGGAAAUGUGAUAUUGAUAUUAAAAAUCUAUGUCAGUUGGGGGCUUUUACCGUCACAGCUCCUAGUCUAUACACUUAUAAUUGUCAAGCAUAAUUCACUGAACACUUGAUUAGAUACACUCUCAUACUGUGUCACCACAAUUCUUACCAUCCCCGAUAUGUAAACUGCUUUUUUCCAUUUGAAUGUUUGCCUUUAUUUUCCCUUUAUUUUGUAACAUUUUAGUGUACUUUAAUCUUAAUUUUUUUUUACAUUUUGUCAGGUUUCUUUCAUUUCAAUUUGCAUUGUUUAUGCCUUAUUUUACAGUUAAUUUUAAGUUGUAUUAGUUUGCUAUACUUUGGUAAUAUUUUUGCUUGGUUUUGCAUUCCUUCUGUAUUAUUUUAUGUAUUUUCCCCUUUGCUGUUAUAUUCCCACCCUCACCCCCACUGUUCAGCACAGCUUGACUUUAUUUCGCUUCAUGAUUUUGUCUGUUACAUUAUUUGUGUUUCUUUUGUUUUUUUUCUGCCAUUUCAUUCACCAUUAAUUUUGUUUUGUUUUGUGUGUCUUGUGUGUUUUUUUUUUUUUUAGUUAGCUUCUUAUGCCGUUAUUUCUAGAUUUAUUUUGCCUAGGAUUUUCUUGAUGCUUUUUUUUUUUUGGUAUUACUUUGCUAUAUCUCGUUUCAUUUUACUUUUUCUUUGCUGAAUUUUUUAUUCAGCUUCUUAUUUUUAUUCUGACUCAAUUUUGCAAAAUGUGGCAUAGAAGAAGAUUGUUGAAUGGAAACAUCUUCAAAUUGAACCUUAUCACUCCAGUAUAUUUUUUGGAGACUUGUCCACCAAGCCCUUCUUUUCCGUCCCUUCCACGGUUCCUUCCCAUACUUCAUUUCUUGGGAGGCUGGCGUGGUUGCCUUUGAGGGACCUUAGAGUGGUGUUUGGGUCUGGGGAGGGGGAGUUUGGAGGAUGUGGGGGGUUGAUUUGACAGAGCACUUGUGACAAUCCUGAGGACAGCACAAGUGCAGAGCUCUCCAUCCUGGAGGCCACGUAUUGCACCAGAGCAGAUGAGCCGAGACUGCGGGCUCCAGGCGGAGGAGGUUGGGGCGACCGACGUGGAUGCACGCUGCCACCCAGAGGCCGUCUGAUGGGUCGCCACAGCGGGUCAUCGAAGAUGAACGCACAUUUGUUGCCCUUCCUGACGCAACCCCUCUCCAGCAAUGAAGGUGGACUUCCCGGUGGGUCCAACUAUCACGUUGACCCGAGUUGGAGCACGCCACUGCACGCUGCCACUGCCAUUACUUGCCUCCUCCCGUUGAGCCGCGUGCGCCAGCGAGUCAACCGAACAUAACCGGGCGAGAACCCAGCAGCGAAGUCCUUCCCCACCCCGCUGGAACAUCAGAGUCCAAACCCCACAGCAACCCCCCCUUACCUCCAGACCACCUUAGCCAACAUCCCCCCCCCCCCCCUCCCCGCAGCUCGCCAUCACGCUGCGCACCAAGCCAUCGCCUCAAAGGAAUUGUCAGAAUAAAUGACGGCCAUUAUGACAAUCACCUGGUAGGACGCCGUGACGAUUGUGAGGAGCGCGACAGGAAGCCAUUUUUAAUAGGUGUUCAUUAUCCUUUUGUUCAGUGUUAAAAAUGGACAAAAAGACCUAAAUAAGUCAUUCCGCCAUUAUGUCACACCCAGGUAACCAAGCAAAUCUCGUUGACCAAUUCCCUGACUGCCUACCUAACUGAUGAACCUACUACUUAGGUAGAAAAAAAUUAAUCCAACCACCCAAUUUACUGGUUACAUCACAUACAAAAUAUGGAAAACAAGUUACGGCAGGAAAAUAAAUCAAAUCAAGCAAGUCAA